This 253-nucleotide ribosomal RNA is filed under the name uncultured bacterium. RNAcentral's name for it is "partial 16S ribosomal RNA". It matches the Rfam family "Bacterial small subunit ribosomal RNA", at positions 524 to 776 of the family's 1533-position model. The record is from RNAcentral.
UACGAAGGGGGCUAGCGUUACUCGGAUUGACUGGGCGUAAAGGGCGCGUAGGCGGUUCGUACAGUCAGACGUGAAAUUCCUGGGCUCAACCUGGGGGCUGCGUUUGAUACGUGCGGGCUUGAGUUCGGAAGAGGGUCGUGGAAUUCCCAGUGUAGAGGUGAAAUUCGUAGAUAUUGGGAAGAACACCGGUGGCGAAGGCGGCGACCUGGUCCGAUACUGACGCUGAUGCGCGACAGCGUGGGGAGCAAACAGG